This 211-nucleotide long non-coding RNA is filed under the name Lathyrus oleraceus (garden pea). RNAcentral describes it as "Pisum sativum (pea) long non-coding RNA (PSAT_LNC030064)". Lineage: Eukaryota; Viridiplantae; Streptophyta; Magnoliopsida; Fabales; Fabaceae. The record is from RNAcentral.
UUUUUGGACUUGGGCCUCUCUCAUUUGAGCCCACAGGUCCACAAAAAUCAGGUUAUAAAUUCAGAGUUUCAGUGAAACAAAAGGGAAUUCUAUUCCUAUUACCCUGGCAGGGAAAAAGAUAGUGAGAGAAGAGCUAACAGAGUUCAGAGCAACCUCCAGAGACUGAAGGGAACUCAUCUGCAAAGAACCAAUUCCCUCUCAUAUAAACCCU